RNAcentral lists this ribosomal RNA (587 nucleotides) under uncultured haloarchaeon. Its description in RNAcentral is "bacterial SSU rRNA". It matches the Rfam family "Archaeal small subunit ribosomal RNA", at positions 335 to 921 of the family's 1478-position model. Lineage: Archaea; Methanobacteriati; Methanobacteriota; Halobacteria; Halobacteriales; Halobacteriaceae. The record is from RNAcentral.
GCAGGCGCGAAACCUUUACACUGCACGACAGUGCGAUAGGGGGAUCCCAAGUGCACAGGCAUAGCGCCUGUGCUUUUCGGUACCCUAAGGCGGUACCAGAAUAAGGGCUGGGCAAGACCGGUGCCAGCCGCCGCGGUAAUACCGGCAGCCCAAGUGAUGGCCGAUCUUAUUGGGCCUAAAGCGUCCGUAGCUGGCCGUACAAGUCCAUCGGGAAAUCCACCUGCUCAACAGGUGGGCGCCCGGUAGAAACUGUGCGGCUUGGGACCGGAAGGCGCGACGGGUACGUCCGGGGUAGGAGUGAAAUCCCGUAAUCCUGGACGGACCGCCGAUGGCGAAAGCACGUCGCGAGAAUGGAUCCGACAGUGAGGGACGAAAGCCAGGGUCUCGAACCGGAUUAGAUACCCGGGUAGUCCUGGCCGUAAACAAUGUCUGCUAGGUGUGGCUCCCACUACGAGUGGGUGCUGUGCCGUAGGGAAGCCGCUAAGCAGACCGCCUGGGAAGUACGUCCGCAAGGAUGAAACUUAAAGGAAUUGGCGGGGGAGCACUACAACCGGAGGAGCCUGCGGUUUAAUUGGAUUCAACGCCGG